Molecule: long non-coding RNA, 1836 nt
Organism: Paramacrobiotus metropolitanus
Lineage: Eukaryota; Metazoa; Tardigrada; Eutardigrada; Parachela; Macrobiotidae
Exons: 3
Source: RefSeq, a predicted model, not a curated record
UUUCGCGAUACAUCCCGAUUAUGAUUUCCCCGAAAAUUAUUCUCUCCACCACCACCAUCUCAGGGAAUUCAUUUUGUUACAGGAAUAACUGCUUCCGAUGACGUCAUUCGCCAGUGCCAGCGUGUGACUGGGGUAUUAUGUGUGCUUCAUGGAAAUCGUAUGGGGCGGUCUGCCGUGGACAGUGGUGACUCUGGGUUUUACCGAAAUCCCAUCGGUUGCAGUCUCGCUUACCAGCUAUGCGGUUUACACAGCGACAAAUGAAAUGUUGUAAAUGCAUUGUCUGGUAUGUGAAACUCCAUCGAAAGAACUUCGCGCUGGCGAUCAGUCGGGGGAGGCAGCGGAUGACUGUCUUCGACAGGGCAACGGUGAACUGACACAGUGCUCUCACGUGACAUGCGCUGAUUGGUGCUUACUGCGCUGCAUUGGCGGAGCGUCAUCUGCAAGGAGUGGAUGGCAUUCUAUAAAAACGCCACUGCUCGCUGGAGAUUUCAACACGGACACCAUGUGGUCGGAUGUGACGUGCCGUGUCCGCAGCGGAACCGGGUGUGAUGGAAUGUUUCUUGGAGCGGAUGGUUAUCGAUCGCGCGCGCGGUACAUAUAACAGGUAAUGCUGAAUCAUAACCGACGCUUGUGUCGCGCUGGAGGGCCUUUUCUAUUUUCCGCUCGUUAGGUCCGCUAAUAAGGAAGCACCGCUUAAUGGCUCACUGUGGUGUGUUGAAAUAGACGUGCUGGAUGUUUGACGUGAUUUGUUUAAUCCGUGAUCUGUGGAGGACGACAGUUUAAGAAGGGAAAGUGCACCGCGGUGCAGCAUGGCAGUGUAGCUAGCUGGUUGUGGGCUAUAUAAGUACAACUACUAGUCAUGUCUGCCGUGCAGCUCGUGGUGGUCAGUCGUCCUGGUGUCCAGUAUGAUUAUCUGUGUUGGGUUCGGUGCGCCUGUGUUUGUUUAUCGGUUCCGCCGGGAAGGGGAGCGGUGUACAGGUAGCUCGCCAUGAUUGGCUCAUGUUUCUGGGAAUGCCGCUCACGCUGCACUUAGUCGAAUAUUCGUCAGCUGAUGUGAGUCAUCUAUUGUAUAUUUUCAAUGAAAAAGGGAACUGCUUGUGCUUGUUCUUCCAUGAACGUUGCGAUCGAUAACUGCCUCCCCGAUGACGAUGGGGAUUGGUGAGUAAUCUGUCGAUAGCUUAACAUUAACAAGAAACUCCAAUUAAUCUUUGUCAUCCCAAGUGUUCGGCUAAUGGGUAUAAUUGUAGCGUCGAUUUGAAACAACACAUCUAUUACUACUGAGUUACGGUUAACCCUAUCAUCCUAAUACGUUUGUUUGCCAAGAAAGGACGCUGAUUAAACGUUACGCGCACGCAAUGAAAGGUGGGAUCUUGUCGAUUGAAGGAAAAGCGACGGGAAGUUCUUUACAUUCGGCAGCACAAGCGAAGAUUGAUAUCCGUCUAGUGCGGAAGUAACAGCUGUUCAUUGGAACAUUUUUGUAGUGAUGUAUAUAGUCUUGGGUAAAAGAGACAACAUGAUCUCGCGAACCGGACAUACUCAAAUAUCUAUCGUUACACAUUGGCUCGGCUAGCCUCGGCAUGUUUUGAAUAGAUGCCUAAAGUACUUCUUUUACUGGUUGGUCUAAUAAAAGCAUUGCAGUGCUGUGCCCACUUAUCGAAGGCAGACUGGACUCGGAUUCUGCUGCAGCACAAAAUAAUGUAGUCGGAAUGCAUUAAUGGCUUGCCCAAGUUCGACUACCGUGUUGCAUUAACACUUACGUGUUGCAUUAACAUUCGCAUCUUAAGUUCAUGAUGUAUCAGAUUUGAUUAAUCGUAAGACGUACUUUAUCGCUGAGAA